Molecule: long non-coding RNA, 491 nt
Organism: Corylus avellana
Lineage: Eukaryota; Viridiplantae; Streptophyta; Magnoliopsida; Fagales; Betulaceae
Source: RefSeq, a predicted model, not a curated record
UGGGAUGUUAACACUUCAAAACUUACAGGGAAAAUUAAUAUGGCUAGCAGCAAACUUGGUGUUGUGGUUCUUCUCCUGGUACUGUGUGGUGUAACUCUGCUGGGAGUAUUCAAUCCGAAGAAUGUGAGUGCGAGUCCUGUUUGCCCAGAGAGUUGCUUGUGCGUACAGUACAUGACUUGUGGCUCUUCAGACCAGAAGCUUUAUAAUGGCUGCAACUGCUGCUUAGCACCAAAGGGCUGCACUCUUCACCUCUGCAGCAAUACUACACUUCUCUGUGAUGGGAAUUGAAGGCCGGUUAUAUAUAUAUAUAUCCCCCCUUGUGUUUUAUUAUAGUCUUUUUGCAAAUAAUGGGACGUUUGUUUUGCAACAGACAUCAAAACUAAUCAUAUAUAAUGUUAUUAAAAAUAAAACUAAAGAGACUUAAUUGUCUUUCUAUUAAUGUUAUGUGCAAUUGAGCUACCUCUUGAGAAUAAAUCCGUUAUUUAUAUAUA